CCUACGGGUGGCAGCAGUCGAGAAUCAUUCACAAUGGGGGAAACCCUGAUGGUGCGACGCCGCGUGGGGGAAUGAAGGUCUUCGGAUUGUAAACCCCUGUCAUGUGGGAGCAAAUUAAAAAGAUAGUACCACAAGAGGAAGAGACGGCUAACUCUGUGCCAGCAGCCGCGGUAAUACAGAGGUCUCAAGCGUUGUUCGGAAUCACUGGGCGUAAAGCGUGCGGAGGCUGUUUCGUAAGUCGUGUGUGAAAGGCGCGGGCUCAACCCGCGGACGGCACAUGAUACUGCGAGACUAGAGUAAGGGAGGGGGAACCGGAAUGCUCGGUGUAGCAGUGAAAUGCGUAGAUAUCGAGAGGAACACUCGUGGCGAAGGCGGGUUCCUGGACACUAACUGACGCUGAGGCACGAAGGCCAGGGGAGCGAAAGGGAUUAGAUACCCCAGUAGUC
This 446-nucleotide ribosomal RNA is filed under the name uncultured bacterium. RNAcentral describes it as "partial 16S ribosomal RNA". It matches the Rfam family "Bacterial small subunit ribosomal RNA", at positions 338 to 795 of the family's 1533-position model. The record is from RNAcentral.